CUGAUGUGGAAGAAGAACCAUAUGGUUCAUAAAGUGCAGUAGAUCACAGCAAGGAAAAAACUUAAAAACUACGGUGAUUCAUUGAUGUUCAUGGUAAAAGCUGUUGGGAGAAAUCCAGACACAGCUGAGUAAUCUGAGCAACAUGAAUGAACAUGGACAAUCUAAGUCCUCAAAGGAACAUAGACAAUAACCACAAGGACAAGGUGCUAUGGUAUAAUCAGUUCACAUGAACCUCAAGGAGGAAAUAGUUGAUUGAAUUUUGAAGGGCGUUGAUCUGGAAAUUGACAGUAUGUUAACUGGCUUUAGUGACUGGGUGGAGUCAUGGAAUGAACAUUUUGCACCAGAAAGAAUGUCCCAAGAAGCCUCCACAUGUGCAGGAGGCUGUCUGGAUGCAUUCAAAUGUUCAGUAGAAGUGAUUCAAGAAAAUCAAGGCCAAAAUAUAUGCUUCAGAAAUAUGUAUUUCUAACAUUUGUGUUCCAUUGAUUCACUAUUUUUUUUUCUAAACAAAACAAAAGCAAUAAAUCUUUUCUUUAUCAUCUCUACUAUUAGGACAUCGAUCAAUGGUCAUUUGAUAUGCUCCUUUCUGUUAUCAAAUUGUGAGAAGAGUUUUACACUUCUUAUUUUGACUUACUACUGCACUAGGAAAAGCAUAGCAUUUUUAACUGUCAAAGCAAUAUUUUACAAUGGCUUUACAUAAUAAAUUAAUCCAGCU
This 712-nucleotide long non-coding RNA is filed under the name Fukomys damarensis (Damara mole-rat). RNAcentral describes it as "lncRNA (ENSFDAG00000022466.1)". Lineage: Eukaryota; Metazoa; Chordata; Mammalia; Rodentia; Bathyergidae. The record is from RNAcentral.